Molecule: non-coding RNA, 21029 nt
Organism: Pelobates cultripes (western spadefoot toad)
Lineage: Eukaryota; Metazoa; Chordata; Amphibia; Anura; Pelobatidae
Source: the annotation of a GenBank genome assembly
CAGUGCUGAAACUUGAUGGAGAGGAAUCUCAGGUAAGUGCUGUAUCCCAGCCCAUGGCCAAGCGGCGGGGGCAAAGCGCCAUGUGCACCCCCGGGUAAUAGUUUGGGAGAGCAGUGUAGUGAGCGAGGCGACUCUACUAGGAGGGUUACGGUAGAAGGAAAGUAACACGUGCGGAGCUGCUGUACCGGGCGGUGGGGUUCAUCGGUAAUCCGGGAGUUUAUCACCUACCCUGAGAGUGCUUCCACAGUGAUCCCUGUACUGUACCUCUGUAUCCGAAUGGUACCCCUUAUCACAGUGAUCACUGCCCUGUCUGUACCCCUGUAUCUGAAUGGUACCCCUUACCACAGUGAUCACUGCCCUGUCUGUACCCCUGUAUCUGAAUGGUACCCCUUACCACAGUGAUCACUGCCCUGUCUGUACCCCUGUAUCUGAAUGGUACCCCUUACCACAGUGAUCACUGCCCUGUCUGUACCCCUGUAUCUAAAUGGUACCCCUACCACAGUGAUCACUGCCCUGUACCCCUAUAUCUGAAUGACACGGCUUCCCACAGUGAUCACUGUACCCCUAUAUCUGAAUGACAGCUUCCCACAGUGAUCACUGCACUGUACCCCUGUGUCUGAAUGUCACAGCUUUACAUAGUGAUCACUGCACUGUACCCCUAUAUCUGAAAGGCACAGCUUCCCACAGUGAUCACUGCACUGUACCCCUGUGUCUGAAUGUCACAGCUUUACAUAGUGAUCAUUGCUCGGUACCCCUAUAUCUGAAUGACACGGCUUCCCACAGUGAUCACUGCACUGUACCCCUAUAUCUGAAAGGCACACCUUCCCACAGUGAUCACUGCACUGUACCCCUAUAUCUGAAUGUCACAGCUUAACACAGUGAUCAUUGCUCUGUACCCCUAUAUCUGAAUGACACGGCUUCCCGCAGUGAUCAUUGCACUGUACCCCUAUAUCUGAAAGGCACAGCUUCCCACAGUGAUCACUGCACUGUACCCCUAUAUCUUCGUGCCGCAAUUUAUCAUAGGGAUCACUGCACUGUAGCCCUGUAUCCGAAUGGCACAACUGAUCAUGGUGAUCACGGCACUCUGCAUUAAUCUUCAGCCACAGAGUAUUGGUGAUCGCUACGCUGUGUCUCUGUCAAUUGCCAGAAUUUACCAUAGUGAUCUCUGCACCGUACCUGAGAUCUUUUAAAGAACCGCUUACCAUAGUCCUCUCUUUGCGGAGCCUGUGUCUUCAGCCACCGCAUCCCAUAGUAAUCUCUGCACUUUCUGUGUUCAGUGCAUAGCUUGUAUAGUAAUCAAUGCACUGGAUGUUCAUAGUACUGUCCAAAUAUCUCCACUGUUUGUCAAUACCAUAUGUUACAAUAUAUAUCAAGUCAUACAUCACCAUUCGAUCUCUAUGUUUACCAGUAUAUGUUCCUGCUAUAACUGACCCAUAUGUUCCCCAUCCAUCGUCAUGCAAUAAUUGGACCAGAGUUUUGGUUACAGACAUGCAUUGUAUAGUCGAAUGUGAAUUGUUCAUUCUUUGGGUGCGAAAGUGUAUUAGGCAAAAGUGAAAGCCUUUUCUGCUGUGCGUUGAUUUUUAUCAAUACUAGUUUAACCCUCUCUGUGCAUAGAGCCGUCCGUGAUCUCUGCGCUCUGCAACUUCUGCAAGGUACUGUGUUUAUGACACAGUACCUCGCCCGUUAACUUUGCUUAUGUGUAUCAGUGCCAUAGUUCCUACACAUUACAUCCUGCUCCAUGACAUACGACAUGUGCCAAACAGCUGGACAUCUCAUUCACCCCCUCUCCCUUUAAUCCAGUUAUUACUUUAUCUGCUGAGCAAAAUAGCCAGAAUCACUGAGUACAAUAGUAUUUCAUAUAACCAUAUUUGUAAAAAUGAUGCAUGUAAUAUCUUCGCUUAAUUUUGUUGGAGUGCCAGAGAGACAGAGAAAUGUAUCAAGUUGAACAUACCCCUGGCACGUGAUGGGUUAAUUACUCUGUGACAUUUAUCGUACCGCUACCCACGCCAUGCACAUAUGCCCACUAUUAGUAAUCAGUGCCCAUAAAAUGCUAGUUCUGUUUCCUAAUUGCGCUCGGUAACAAGCACUCCAAACCCCCACACCCCACAAUCUGUACGAAUACUCGCUCUCCUUAGCUGAGCCUCCCACUCACAGCAUCGUUUUUGUUCUUUCGAUUUCCUCCCACUCAGGAUCCACGCACAAACUUUCAUUGGCAGCCCUAGUCUGGCAGGCGCACCCCCUCCCCCCCCCCUUCUUUUCCUCCCCCUCUUCCUGUCCAACUGUGGAAAGGCGCACAUGUUUAAUCUGCCUAAGCAUCACUGCACCUAUCACCUAACACAUCAUCACUAGGCAUCAUCGUGCAUUCCAUUUAGAAUGUUGAGGGAUCAUAGAUUCUCCCCACUUUACUGCUUCUCUAAGAAUAUAUAUUCUAGUCUGAGAUCCUCACCCACUCUACUGACUUACUGUAUGUGGGGGUUCCAGAAAAAGAGAUUGAGGUUUGUGUUUCAAAGUAGAGAGACCAUGCAUGUCUAUACAAGAGUCUACAUGUUAGCAACUGCAUGCAUAUAUAAUGCACACACACAUAUGUCAAAAUCGGUUACAUUCAUUGCGUAGCUGUGAGGCUACUGUAUGUGCAUGUGUGUAUGUGCAUGUGAAGAUUUGAUUGCGCCUGUGUGUACGUGCGUGUGAAGCUUUGUGUGUAAAUAUUUAUCUGUGCAUGUGAUUAGACGCGAGGGUAAAUGUAUGUUGAUAUAGAUAGAUGCCACGUGUGUAUGUAGAUGAAUGUAGCUGUCCGUUCGUGUUGAAGUGUAUAGACAUAUGUAUAACUGUUCAUAGGUAACUGUUUGGAUAUGUGAACGUCUCUGUGGGUAAACAUGAAUGAGAAUAUGACUGGAGAUGCGUGUUUGUGUCGAUAUAUGUAUCUGUGUGUAUGUAACUAUGUAUAUACAUAUGAAUGUACCUGUAGAUGUGUGUUUGGGUAUCUGUGUGUAUUUGUGUGUUUGGGUAUCUGUGUGUAGAUGUGUAUGUAGCUAAGUGUGUGUGUGUUAGAUGUGUAUGUAGCUAGAUAUGUGAAGAUAUGUGUGCAUAGCUAGAUGUAUGUGUGUAGAUUAUUGUGUGUAUAGCUAAAUGUAUGUGUGCAGAUUAUUGUGUGUAGCUAGAUGUAUGUGUGUAGAUGUGUGUAGCUAGGUGUGUGUGUGUGUAGCUAGAUGUCUGUAUGUGUGUAGAUGUGUAGCUAGAUGUGUGUGUGUGUGUGUAGCUAUGCAUAUGUGAAAGUGUGUUUACAGUGCGUGGGUGUGUUUUGCAGUCCAUUCUGCUGGAUACAGGGACUCAUAGACAGACACUGAUAGCCCAGUGCUCUCCUGCCAUUGGAGUAGUGUCUGUGUGAUGUGUAUGGGGGGAGGUCCAUCCCGGUGACUCAUACAUUAAAGCACAUUCAGUCCACGUCCCAUCCUCCCAAUUCAGCUCGCCUCCUCUUCAUCCCUGCUCUCCUUCACAUGCGAGUUUUUUCUCUCCUCCAUCACUUCCACUUUUCCCUUCAGACUGCAGAGCUUCUCCUCCCUGUAGAUUUCUCCUCUGACGUGUUUCUGGGGAUGAGAAAUUCAUCUCUGCGUCAAUGCAGCCCUUCAUUCACCUGCACCAACCUGCUCUUAAAGGCACAGGCGCACUGACUGGCUAAUUCCCAGCUCCAGGAGUCCCCCUUCAUGCUCAUUUACUAAUGAGUCUUGGCACUGUGUGGGGGUAACAUAGCCUAGUAACUAUGUGACUCUAAAUUGCGUCAUACAAUGAAUGCAGGAAUGUAGGGCACAAAGCCAACAUGAACGACUAUAUUUAUAAGCCUAGACAAUUGUAUGUUCAAUAAUUCAGCAAGGAAAGGGUUACCGGAUACAAAAAGUGCUCAGUUUAAAAGUUCCCAGUUUCUGGGGCUUCCAUUGAUGUGAUAUAUUUGAUAGUUCGUUUAAACACAUUUUUCAGGUAGAGAUGGACUUAGUACAUUGCACCCAGAUAUCCUGCAUCCCUGGUAGAUGUCUUAGAACCGUUAUGAUGGGCAGGAUUAAUUUCUCACCCAGGCUUGCAGCUUACAGACCUUGAACAUUAGUAGUGACAUUGCCCAGGGCUAAAUUGCUCUUCACCGGAACUGAAAUUAAAUUGGAAUUAAUCAACUAACUCUACUAAAUUGGAUUUUUUUUUUAUUAACCCUGUUUGCACCUGUUAUGUGUUAUAAUGAUGCCGGUAAUAGGUUGUGGAAUGAAGGUUUACUCUGUACUCUACCUGAGUCUCAAGGGCAAAAUUCUAAAUGGUGGGCAAUCACCAUGGAAACCAAUGAAAUUUUCCUACUGAUUGUUCCACAUUCAGAACUUUGCUCCCAAAGUGUUCUUUAUGCACAAUCCUGAAAGGGUUAACAAUGUGUCAGUGGGACCAUCACAGAUAGCAGAAUGUUCCUUUCAGGGAAGCUGCAGUUUCAGUUACUAGACGUCCUGUCCUCCUUGCAAAUAACCCCUACCCUCCCUGCUACACCACCUAUGUACGGUACCUGCACCAGAAGGCUGGAGAUUCCCAGAGAUGCUACAACACUCCCGGUCAUUACAUCAGCACCUUGGCUCUAGACUGCUUACUGUGAAAUUGCUAUAGGAACAGUAACAGUCUACAGUCAUGGCUACUGAAGUGUGACUUCUGCUUCUGUUCUACAGCCUCUGGGUGGACCUCCAAGGAGACAGAUCCAAAUGCAGCCCAUACCAAGGGCAUGAAGAUUGGCAGGGGCAAAUAUAGGAUGGGGUGGUGUGGGUGGCAUCCAAAAGGUGGCAAGUGACUGUCCUUAAACUAUUGCAAUAUGCUGGUUAUAAUGCAUCACACCUGUAAAUGUUUUGAUUAUGAUUACCUGGUCAUAUUUCCCCUGUAUGUCUUGUCUAGUUCAGUCACUGCUGACCUUGGCACUGCAGAUACUUGUAAAGUACAUUUCACAUGAUGGGGCAUCAUUGGAAACGUAGUCCACCAAAAAUACUCAGUGGUGAAUUCUUGCUGACCUGGAUUAUAUAUUAACCCAUUAACCUCCGCAAUUCACCUGUUUUUUAAAGAGUUUAGAGCCAUCUCGAACCACGCUGUUGCUAAUGAUCUAUGAAUGACUGAUCCACAUCGAUGUAUCAGUUUUGAUAAGCAAUACUGGGAAAACCAUUGGGGUCUCACAUUCCUUACAAUAUUCACUUAGAGGUAAACCUGUAAUAUUGCUGUCUUGGAAAGGGGAGCUUUUGGAGCAGCUGGCUUGUGACUGAUCUGUAAGGUAAAACUGCCAGUUUAAUUCACUGAUUGGCAGAUGCCUGGUAUGAGUUUGUGUAUGUGUUAAAUGGUCCUAUUUUGCUAUUGGUGUAAUGCACAGAGAUGUAAAUAUUCUAGCAAAUAGCAAUCAGUUGCACUGCAAAAGUUCAUAGCACUAUAGCUGUACAGAUUGCUGCCUGUGGUGGUGAAUUAGACAUCCUCACAUAGUUAGCCAUGGGUGACAGCUGCAAGACUCUGUUUGCAUGUCUCCACCCACAGAGACUUUUAGUCACUUUAAGAUACAGAAGAUGUAAGUCAAUGAGUCACUGUACCACCCACUGAUUUAGCAUGUGUGGAUAGCUAUAGUUUAUUUUAGGAAAUAAAUAUAGUCCCAAUUUUUUUCACCAGUUGACAAAGUCACGGGAACAAGGAUCAUUGAGCAAAAAUGACAGAAGUAAGUAGAAUUAAAUGAGGAGUGAGAAAAUGGCAGUAUUUCUUAUUUAAAAUACCAGCACACGCAUAAAUUAAGUGAUUCAAAGCAGAACUUAACAUACAUGAUAAUAGAGUUUUUACUGCAACUAUGUAACAUUUGUGGAGAGUACACUAAGAACAGGUUGGCCAAACAAUGUAAAAGCUGACAAAGCAUCAUGGGACAUCAUGGGGAUAUACCUUUUUGCCACCCUCUGCUAUAGAACAUCAAAUGUUGGCUGAUCUUAUUGUAACAAUGACAACUUAAACAUUCACCUGAUUAUUUACUAAAGUGAGAAUUGUGGUUAAUUCAAAGUUAAUUUUAAGAUUAUAGCCAAGGUAGCCAUGCUGGAAGUACAGUUAAAGUAACACUAUAGAGUUAGGAAUACAGGUUUGGUGCCCUUGUCCCUAAUAAAAGUAGAGGGCCCCCACCUAUGGGCAAUAAUUUUUUAAUUACCUUUUUUCCGCGCUGCUUACUUCUCUGCCUCCCAUGACAUCAUCAAGGAGGGCAUCCUAUUUCGAAUGUCCAGCCCAGAGUUCCUCAUAGAGGAGACCUGAUGUAGAUGCACAUGAAGUGACUAGCGCAUCCAAUGUUUCUCUCAGGAAAGCAUUGAAUUUAAUACUUUUCCAUGAGCUGCAACAUUACAUGCAUGUUUUACUCUGUCAGUGCAGUGAAAGAGCCUUUUGUGGUGUCUGAAAGACAGCCAAGUAGUGUGUUUAACCUUGCAAUGUAAACAUCUCCGGAUCUACAAAACUGCAGUGUUUUAGAUUGCAGGGUUAAAAUGAGAGAACUACUGCAAAUGGCCACUGGUCUGGUCACUUUAGUGUCUUUUUAACUUGGAGAAAUUUUCCAAUUGUACUAUUUUCGGCCUUAAAUGUGAAAUUCACUUUGAAAUCCUGUCAGUUCUUACUUUAAAGUAGGUAAAUAGCACUGUUAGUCUUAAUAUAGCAUUUGUGUAGCAUUAUGACAAGUCAACUCUUCAUUCCAUUACCUAGGCAUUACAUUUAAAGAAACACUCCAAGCACUAUAACCACUACAGCGCGCGAGCACUCAGCUAAUGCCAGUGAUCUAACCUUACAUGUCCAGGUUUAGCUCAUGAGAGGUAACAGAAGAUCCUAGGCAGGGGCUCACUGCUCUGUUGGCUGCAGUGGAAUUGGAGAGUGGUGUCUGGCAGAUCCAGGUAAGAAGCCGAACCCUUCUAAAAUGUAUGCUGUAUUGGUCAUGGUGUUAGAAGUGUUCCUGUAAGGCAAUUUGAGCACCAAUAUUGGUGCUUAAUCUCAUUUUACAUACAAUGUGUAUAAUUAAAGGGACUGCGCAGCCUUAUCGAACAUAGACACUUUAUUACAUUACAUGCAGAAUUAGUGACAACAUUAGUUGUGAUUUCUGUGUAAACCUAAAUGUGCAUUCGCAUGUAUAAUUUAUAUCUUUACAAACGCAUUUGAAUAUUUCUAUUAAAGUUUCAUUCACUAGACCAAGUCUAAUAUUUAAACUGUUCCUGUCAUGGUAAACAAAAGUUACUAGGUUAUUUUAUUAAAACAUUUUUCUGUAUGUUGUGCUUGCAGAACUGCUAGAAACAAAAUAAUAAUAAAAAUAUAUAUAUAUAUAUUAACAUAUGGUCCCUCCUCUAAUCUGUCAAUCAUUUCCCAGCUUACAGCUCUAUGCCAAUGAUGUAGUGCAUUUGGAGAUCAAGACCACUGCACUUCCCCAAACAAUGCUCCCUCAGCACCAACAUUCUCACUUCUCUGUCGAGUGGAAUGGUGUCAGAACAGAGUGACAGUUGUCAUUGUGUUCCUAUAAUCUGCUAGCAAGAAUGAGAUGCAUCUAUUAGGGAAGUAAUCAUGGUAACGUAUGUGCAUGCAUAUGCUGUAUGCUGUAGCUGCUGUGAAGGAGAACAGGAGAACCAUUAAGUUGUCCUCUUGGUCACCAUUCCGUGACAUUGUCCUGUUUGGGGAAGUGUUCAGGCGUAGGGGCAGGAAUUAAGAGCAGGCAAUAGGUGUUACAUAAAAGUAACACCCCAAAUGGCUGCACUGGGGAUGGAGAGAAAGUGGUGAAUACAUAUAUAUAUAUAUAUAUAAUCUACCUGCAUAAAAUCUAUACAUUUAUCACAAUGCAAAAUUUCCAAGUUUGCAUGUAAUUAAUGUUUGUGUAAGAGAAUGAGUAUUAAAGAACCUUCUAAAUAAGGGGUAGCAGUGAGUUAACAAUCAACAUAGAACGUUUAGACCAAAAUAAGUGAGUUGGAAGAAAUCCUCUUUUAGGCGGAAUUUUAGUUGUGUAUUCUAAACUAUACAGUCCAGUUAUUUCAGGAUAUUUUUUCCUUUUAAUCUUCUGUAUUGCAUAAACCAGUCAAUGGAUCCUUUACCCUGCAGAUUGGAUGCUCCAUUAAUGUUAAUUGUUAACCAUUAUCCUGUAUUAGUAUAAUGUUACACUUGAAAAAGCAUUUUGACAUGGAGACAAGACAGCCAGGAACCGGCCAACAUAACAGCUCUUUCUUUGUUCCCAUUGAAUAAUAUUUAAAGAAAUUAUCCAAAGGGAUACCUUUAAAUGUAUCUAGUUUUCUUGCUUACUAUCAAAAACAAUGGUAUAAAAUCCAGAUUGCAAAAUGAAGGCUAAACUAGCCAAGCUGUGACUGUAGCUGGAUAACCCCUUAAGUACACAACUUCAGAAAUAUAAGGGAAUCAUGACGGAAUAUUUCCGUCAUGCGUCCUUAAUCCCUUAAGGACACAUGACAUGUGUGACAUGUCAUGAUUCCCUUUUAUUCCAGAAGUUUGGUCUUUAAGGGUUUAAGGGGAUAUUUUUUCCAGAUCUGUAGUUUUUUUGUGUGUUAAUUCUUCAUUGUGGCGGUGAGCUUUUUAAAAUGUUAUUAUACCAACUAUACCAAUUUUAUUUUACCAACUACUUCAAUGGUUCAACUCCAAAUUCAGCAUAGUAUACCAGUUCAAUAAUAAUAUGUAGCUAGUAUAGGAAAUGGCAGCAAUUUUAACUUUUUUACCAAUUUUAUGCUUUUUAAAUUUUUUAUUUUUUAUUAAUAUGUAUUAUAGUAUGUAUAACCUAGUAUAAAUUAACUCAGGGUUAUAAUAAAGAAACAAAUAACCUGGCAAUAUGUUAUAAUUUGCAAACUGUUUUUAGGCAAAAUAGCAGAGUUUUAAUAGUUUUCUAUUUACUUUAAUAAAGUUUAGAAAGGGGGUACAUUGACUAGGUGAGUGGUAUCCAAUUCAGUCUAUUCCAUUGGGCAUACUGACAAAAAUGUUGACAUUUGGCAUGCUGUGAGGACCUGAUUGGAAAACACUACUCUAGAGACAGACAGCCCCUGUAGAUCCUUUAACCCCUUAAGGACACAUGACAUGUGUGACAUGUCAUGAUUCCCUUUUAUUCCAGAAGUUUGGUCCUUAAGGGGUUAAACUAGAAUCUUUCUUAUCAUUACAUCAAAAUCGACUGCAGGAAUCUAACAUGGGUAUAUUCACUAACUAAACCAUUUACCGUGAUGAGUUUAACUAACUUCUAAACCCAUGCAAUGAAAGUGCAAAGUGUUCUUUACACAAGCACGAUUAUUAAAGCUGAAAUGGUUUUACAAAAACAUGUUUAGAAAACAUUUAAGUUAGACUCCACUGAUUGUAAUGAAUAACUGCUCGACGCACAUCGUCGUAGUUUUGAAAACAGUCAAAUCGUUUAGCUCUAACUCUGUUUCACAAUUUAUGAAACUUUCUUCACUUCACCCAGAGAAUGCCCCUUCCUAGGCUAGAUCAAUAAUGCAGAUUUAAACCACCCCUAGUGCUCUCAGCCAGCCAGUGUUGUCCAGAUUGGAUGGAACUGACGCUGAUAAUGCAGGAAUGUUAAAGGAGCACUCCAAACACCUAAAGCAUAUAAGCUUUCUGAAGUGCUUUAGUGUGAAGAGUGUGUCCUCUUUUUUUAUUUUACAAAAAGUGCAGGUUUCAAUUAACAAAAGCUAAAAAGGACACUCUACUGCCCAAACAAAUAAUAAUAAUAAUAAUGCACUAUUUAGUAGAUAUAUCCUCUUUGAAAACGCAUGUAUGUAAUAAGGCAUGUUUUUAGUUGGGGUUUUAACUAGAACAGCUUUCAAAACCUGCAGAUCUUUUGUCUGCCACCUUUACAGGUCAUAACCUUCUUUCCCAGACCAGUCUGUUGGUAUCUGUCCUAAUGCAACUCAAUAAAAAGUCUUUGCAAGGCAGGUGGUCUAGGUUUCCUCUUGAGUUUAGCUCUACUGAGCUAACCAAACCAGGAAGUAACAGGACCUGAUGUCUGAUUGACAGUGUGGGGAAGGGGGGUUUAACAAGGUUAAUGUGUUUCUAUUGACAUCUGCACUUUUUAUAAAAUGAAAUUAAAUGAAAAAGCAGAUAAAUUUUUUACACAUCAAGGACUUCUGCAAAAUUCAACAUUUUAGGUGUUAGAAACGUUCCUUUACAUGCCUGCAUGUUUUCACUGGAAGUAUAUCUACUAAAUAGUGUUUGUUUUUUUAUUUUAUUUUAUUUGAGCAGUGGAGUGUCCCUUUAAUUUUCUGUUUUCAGUUAUGCUGAAGUGGAGGCUCUCUUCAGACGCAAAGAAAAACCCUGUUUUAUGGUUUAGGUCAAACAGUUUUAAAUAGUUUUAUAUUAAAUCAGGGGAGGGCUCCUGCACACACUCUUUAACCUAACCAUUGAAGUGAGCUGCAGUGGUUAUAUAGCUUAGGGCAUCCAUAUAAUGAGACACUAACUCUUUUAAUAAUUAGAUAGAAAUAUACAGCAAAUAGUAUUAAAAGUAAAAAACAAAAAACCUAAAUGCUAAAUUACAGAAUGCUGCAGGUUCUUGCAGAAAGGAACACGUAGAACUCUUUUAAAUUCAUUCUGCAGCAUGAUACACUACAGUAGAUGAAACCAUGUAUGUAAUUUACAAUGACUCACAUUAAAUGAACAGGUGCUUCAUUUGUGAAGAGUGUGUCUACUUUUUCCAUGUUACAAACAGAGCAGAGUUCAAUAGAAAGUGACACUUUUUAAAAGUAAUCUUUCUACACCCCUUGGAUGGUAAGACAAUCAGUCCUGUUACUUCCUGGUUUGGUUAGCUCAGUGGACAACAACAUUAAUUCUGGGCUGGGGAAAAAGGAAAGGGCUUGCAAAAGCUUCAGACGAGAGAUCUGCAGCUUUUAUAAGCGUUUUCAAAAUAUACCCACAGUGGAAAAAAAAAACAUAAAUCAUUGCAUGCAUGCUUUCAUUGGGGUAUAUCUACUAAACAGUGGUUUUAUUUUUUGUUUUUUGGCAGUGGAUUGUCACUUUAAAUUAUGUGCCUUGACUCCUUUAAAGUUUCAAUCACUAUUGAUAUUUUUAAGAAAGUAUUGACCAGGAAAGAUCAAAAUCUAAAAAAUGGUUGCUUCCCUUCCCCUCCCCAUAAUUUUGCAUAUUGUUUGUCAGGCCAUCAAAUUCACUAUUUACUCAGUAAACCCUAAAUUAUGAAAUUAGAGCGCAGUUAUGUAAUGCCCACAUCUAAUAUGGCACCUUACUCAAGUGCCAUUACUAUAGUAGGCAGAUUUAGUAUACCAAUUUAUACGACUACCCAAGGGAAUGGGAGUUCUGGCCAAUGUAUGUCCAAGUGAACAGGCCUCUAUGUACUGUGCACUGAUUGGUUCUUGAAUCUGUGAGGAACACACAUUGAUACCCUAUAAUCACCAAUUGAUUGACUCUAUUUAUGUCUGCAUGGGGAAAUAGGGGAAGGCUUAACCCAUUCACAAACAUAGCAGUUUCUCUGAAACUACUAUGUUUAUGAAAAAAUGGGUUAACCCUAGCUGGACCUGGCACCCAGACCACUUCAUUAAGCUAAAGUGGUCUGGGUGCCUAGAGUGGUCCUUUAAGUUACUAACAGUAAUAAAAUACUUAGAUGAAUAUUAUCUUCUCUAUUUAAAUUUGGACAGUAAGGUGAGGCACCCACAGGGGAAAACACAACUGUUAAACUUUCCAUUUUCAUAUAUCACAGGCUUCCCCAAACUCCGGCCCUCCAGAUGUUGCUGAACUACAACUCCCAUGGUUCUAUGAAUGAAAUAGAUAGGCUGAGAAUCAUGGGAGUUGUAGUUCAUCAACAUCUGGAGGGCUGGAGUUUGGGGAAGCCUGAUUUAUCAGUUCAUUGACACCUGCUGUAUGUGGCUGGGCUCUUGGCUUCCUAACUUUAAUUUACUAUAAUUUAGAUGCAGAACUCAGUCCACAUUUUAGUCACUGAGAAUGCAAGUAGAUUAACUGUGGCAUUGCUGUGAGCAAAUUGUAGCGUGGCUGGGUGACCAUAGCCAAGCCAGGAACCCGAGUUUAACUCAUCUUAAUUAUUUUUUAGAUAAAAUGUGACUUACUGAAAAAAAAUUAAAUUGUAUUUUAUCUCAUAAUAUAAUCUAGGAAAUGCAUGGCUUACUCUCCCACCACCCAUUUAUUAUUGGUAUAGAAAGAGGCAAAUAUAUAGGAUUAGAAUAUAUAAAUAAAUAACACAUUAUAUUAGCUAACUCGUCAAAGAAAAAAUAAAUGUUUAGGACUAAGGGCAUUUUAUGAGUGCAAUGUUUGAGUCUAACCAGGCUCGGCUUCAGACAGUGAAUUAUUAUUCAAAGGGGUUUAUCAAUAUAGAAACUUUUCAGGGUAAGGAAAGCAUUGGGAUGUAACUACUGGAUGUUCUACAUUUGGAACUUUACCCCCAAUCUGCUAUUCAUGACCUCAUAGUGUCUCUGAAGCACAGAACACACCUUGUGGUUCACUCACUAAACUCUGAGGUGUUUAUAAUUAAAAUUAAAAUGGAAAUUGGUGUUAAAAUACUCGAACUGUGGCUAUAGCUGAGUUGGAGAAUUUUCUAACCAUUUUAUUUAUAAUAUGUUGACAUUUUAAAUUUAAUUUCAAUUAGCUAUAGUUCAAGUCUACUGUAAAAACCUGUGAUUAAACCCCUCAUUACGUGUAUGUAAAGCUUUAUUUUUCACUUUACCAAUUUUAUUCUUUGUUUGAACCCAGCAGACUAGAAACCAUGAACAGUUCAUCAAGCUGAGGCAAUAGAGCAGGUGGACAUGUGUACACUAAUGGAUAUAUUCACUGCUUUGUGGUUGUGGUGAGUUGAUUACCAACUUGCAAAAUCUAGGCCAGAUUAGCUGAGUAAGCUAGUUUUUCCAACCAUGAAGUAUAUUCAUGAAACAGCGAGCUGUGCUGAGUUGACAGCCGAUUUAAAAAUGUAGGGCAAAAUAACUGAAUUGGAAAAAAUCUCAACUUCAGCUGAGCUGGAGGCUUCUUUCAAUCUUAGGAUUUUAGGACUGGACAGCAUAAAAUAUUGCAUUGUCAAAUUGCAUAAAAACUGUAUAAAUCGCUGUUUGCAGAAAAUAGACCUCUCUUAAUGUUCUAAGAUUCGUAAAUCGAUUGUAAACUUAUCAGAAUUACCCAUAAAUUAUUAUAAAAAUAAUAAUAAUAAUUAUUAAUAAUUAAUCAUUAUUAUAAUAAAUAAGAAACAUAUGUAAAACACUUAUUUUUAAAAGACAUGGAUGCAUUUUAUUAUCUACACAUAUCAUUAUAGUAUAACUAAUAUUUCAAUUAACAACAAUUUCCUUAGAGAUUGACAGAUUAAAUAAAGGAUAUAACAAAACAAAACAAAACCAACAAAUUUGCUAGAUAGAAAUAAGUUCAUAUAGUUGGCUUUUCUGUGAACUUACAAUCUAAACUAAAAUGUUUAUUCAAUAAAGGAACAUUGCAAACCUCUAAAGUAAAUUGUAGGUUCCUAGAGGUUUUGUAGAACUACAAAUUCCAUGAUGCUUUGCAUGCUUUUAGGAUGCAUAUUGAAUGACAAAGCAUGAUGGAAGAUGUAGUUUUAAAACAUCCGGGGAUGUACAUUUUGGGUACCUUUGCUCUAAAGCACUUCAGCUUGCUGAAGUGUUUAGGAGUAAGCAGUUUUGUAACAGUGCUGACUUCAAGCGUCAUCAACACUUUCAUUUUAACAUCUUGGUAAUAUCUCCCAGCUGUCUACUUGAUAGAAUGUUGCCUUCCUCGACUACAUUGUACUCUCAUUUAACCCCUUAAGGACCAAACUUCUAGAAUAAAAGGGAAUCAUGACAUGUCAGACAUGUCAUGUGUCCUUAAGGGGUUAAAGUGGAAGUGAGGGCUUCUCAUAGAGAAGCAUUGGCUCAGUGAUUGUGCAUGGGAGCAUUACCAGCGUAUCGCGGCAUUGGCACCCUGUGUUCCCAUACUUCUCUAUAGAAAGUAUUGGACUUGCUGGGAGUUUAUCACUAGUCAUGAGUUCCAGAGUCACAGUGAAACUGUAGUAAGAAGGUGGUCUCUCUGAAUUAGAGGUAGGUCACAUAUUGUUUGGAGGGAUCCUAGCUUAGGAACAUUUAAGCACAUUUAUUUCUAACAAAGCCUUCCUUUAAAACGCGCAUGUUUACUGAAAAGUGAUUCACAAUUUAGGUUAAAAUAGCUAAACUGUGACUAAGCUGGAGCUGGUAAUUUUUUUUUUUAAUUCACUACUGUCUGUGUUUAGUGAAUAUCCUGUUGACGCUGUAUAUUAUUUAUAAAAUGGACAUCGUAUGCAAGGUACAUUUUGGGUGGUAGUUUUCAUGCAAUAUAACUAACAUUUACGUGUCUUACAUUUUAUGUUAAUAACCAGCUGUUUCUAGCUGCACAGACUGGUUAGUUCAUUUAUCACUGACAGUUACUAGAAAUAGAUUGGAUAGAUUUACUUUUAUUAACUUUAUAUAGACAUUUUUUACCGAUUUACUCCAGCAUUGUGUAUAGCAGCAUAAUGCCAAAGAAAUGUGGGUACAAUGUAGUUGUUAAAGCAGUCACUGGCCUGUUUAUGGUUUAUACAUUAGAAACAGAGCUGUUUCUAAUGCAGUGCCAGUGAUUUCUGUUUGCUUACAUAUUAGUAAGUUAGCAGCCUGGCAUGCCCCAAUACACCAGAGUAAUAGUGAACUCACUGCGCUCUGAUUAGAAUGUUAAACAAAACAUAAUCAGUGUUCUAGAAUUCCAUUUCAGGAUAACAAAGUGAUCUCUGAGUAUUGGAGGAAAACUCCCAUUGGCUGCUGUGCCGGAUAACCCCCCACAUAUUAGCUUUCUGCAGUUAUCCCAUUUACACUUUCCUGCUAUUAUCCAUCCUUGAACACUGUCUAAUAUUUUGCUACUAUUUAUUCCUUUUAUUCAGUCUCAGGUCUCCAUGCAUUGAAAUAUUUUGAUGAUCAGUUUUUUUCCGCUCUAUUCUCAUCCUUAACCCCUUAAGGACCAAAUUUCUGGAAUAAAAGGGAAUCAUGACAUGUCACGCAUAUCAUGUGUCCUUAAGGGGUUAAAGGGACACUAUAGUCACCAAAACAACUUUAGCUUAAUUAAUAAAGAUAUAUAUAUAUAUAUAUAUAUAUAUAUAUAUAUAUAUAUAUAUCCCCUGCAGUCUCACUGCUCAAUUCUCUUUCAUUGAUGAGUUAAAUCACUUUGUUUAUGCAGCCCUAGCCUUCCUAAACACUUCCUGUAAAGAGUCAUCUAAUGUUUACACUACUUUUAUUGCAAAUUCUCUUUAAUUUAGAAUUUCUUAUCUCCUGCUCUGUUAAUAGCUUGCUAGACCCUGCAGGAGUCUCCUGUAUGUUAUUAAAGUUUAAUUUAGAGAGCAGGAGUUAACCAUUUCUAAAGUAAGCUACUAUCUGAUUGAUAGUAAAACCCUUUUUCUCAUGCAGGCUGUGUCAGUCACAGCCAGGUGUGGCUAGGAGGCAUAAACAGAAUCAAAAGUUAUUUAACUCCUAAAUGGCAGUACUCAAAUUUAUUUAUUUACCCUGUAGCUUAGUGGUCCUUUUAACUGAAAUAUAAUCUCAUAGAAUCUGCUUCAAUGUUGGAAACAGUCCCUGUAAUUUUAUUUUAAGUUAGAUGUCUGCUUCUCCCUCGGACCUACCUUUCGCAAGGUUAAACAAGAUAUCUAUAUUGUUUACCAGCUUGCUAGAAGAUGUACAGGCCAGACAAAGUUUUGUGUUUAACAUGUUUCUUCCAGUGGUGAGACAGACAUAAAGACAAGUAAAUAGAUAAAGCUAGACAGACAGACAGAAAGAUAGAUAAACUGUAUUUUUUCUGUAUUAUACUGCACACAGCUUCAGGUCUAGAUAUAAUGCUAAAUAAAAGAUAAAUUGGUUGCUCAACCUUCUGGCAAAGUCUUCUCUGGAAAGGAACAUUCUAAUGUUAAAAAGUAAUAAUCAGCUUUAGAGUUUGGCAAAUCUCUUUACACCUUUAAAUACCAGACCCGCCCCCAUGAAUGAAAAAUUACAUAACUUUGACAACAGUUUACCUUCCUGUCCAGAUUGCUUCAAUGGUUGCAUACACGUCAAUCAAAUGCAGCAACCGCUGUGAUCAAACAAUAGAAUACUUCUCAUACUGUACUAAUGAAUGGUUGUUCAAGCGGAAUGGGUCAGGAUGUCAGUUUGACUGCUGUGGGGGAGAGAAGUUCCCAAAUUAAUUUAUAAAAGUGAUGAUUUCUCUUUAAAUUGGCUCUUUUAUGAAUUGGGACAAGAUGGACAGACCGUUAACCCAUAAAGCAUUUCAGCAAGCUGAAGAUUGUGAAGUGUCCAUUUAAGCAUAUAACAAUGGCAUGGAGGCCAAGUGACAUUUAUCCCCCUUAAUCUUUGCACUACAUUCUAUUUGCCUCUGAAACACAGGAUAUAGAUAAAUGGUUUGGUUACAUUGAUAAUUUUCUGCAUCGCAUAUUAAUGGUAAAAACGACUUCAUUUGUUCAUGUUUUUAUUGAAACGGGUUGAAGAAAACAGAUGGGGCAUAUGGAUAUGCUUGGAAAUCUGUCCAAGCAGAAAUGUAUUGACAGAAGGCAAAGGAAGAAAAAUUCCUAGCGUACAAAAUUACAGCAAUAUGACAUAAGUAUGAGCAAGGCAAAAAACAGCUCCUUGUUACAGAGGAUUUCCCAUUUAUACCCUUUUAUCUUACAUCUAUAGAACCAUAGUAAAUAUGGUACACACCAGGCCUUCUAAUGUAUCAAAACCAGUGUCAUUUAGAAUAAAACAACGUGAAAAGAAACAUUUUAUGAACACAUAGUUUGUGGGCGUAACAGAUACUUGUCACAUUCUUAUCAGAAGCUGGUGGAAUAUUACCGAUCAGUAUCAAAACAUGUACUGGCAUGGUAAGAGCAGUAAGGAAGAUAACAGCUUUAUCUUCCAUUUGAAUUGUUGCCAACCCCAUUUAAUGCCUAAAGUCUAAUGCAUAAUUGGACAAUUACAUGGUCAUUGCUGUAACCUGAAAGUGCAGUUCAAAGAAGUUUAGACAUAACAGAGAUAAUGAUAGAAACAUUUAAUAUAUGAUAAAAACAUUUAAAUACAUAAAGGUAAUCAACAAAGUAAAUGAGGAGAGUAUAUUUAAAAGAAGAAAAACUACCACAAAAAGAAAACUACCACAAGAGGACAUAGUCUUCAAUUAGAGGGGCCAAAGUUUAAACAUAAUAUCAGGAAGAAUUUUUUCACUGAGAGAGUAGUGGAUGCAUGGAAUAGCCUUCCAGCUGAAGUGGUAGAGGUAAACACAGUGAGGGAGUUUAAGCAUGCAUGGGAUAGGCAUAAGGCUAUCCUACUUAUUAAAUAGGGCCUGGGACUAAUGAAAGUAUUUAGAAAAUUGGGCAGACUAGAUGGGCCGAAUGGUUCUUAUCUGCCGUCACAAAUUGGGUAGACUAGAUGGACCGAAUGGUUCUUAUCUGCCGUCACAAAUUGGGCAGACUAGAUGGGCCGAAUGGUUCUUAUCUGCCAUCACUUUAGCUUGCUGAAAUGCUUUAUGUGUGAAGAGUAUUUCCUCUUUUUUUUUUUUUUAUUUUACAAAAAGUGGAGAUUUCAAUAGAAAUUGAAACUUUUAUAAAUAACCUUGUUACACCCCUUUACUGUCAAUCAGACAACCGGUCCUGUUACUGGUUUGUUUAGUGAACUAAAUUCAAGAGGCAGCAAUUGCUCAGAGCACCUACCUUGUAAAGACUUCUCAUUGAGCUGCAUUAGGAAGUUUUUUGAUUGGACAGCCACAGAAAGUCUGGGCAGUGUUAGAAGGGCAGGGCUUGCAAAAGCUGCAGACAAGAUAUUUUAGAUAUACCUACAAUGAAAAAAUGAAUAAUGAAAUGCAUGUAUGUUUUUUCAUUGGGGGUAUAUCUAUUUACUUAUUUUGUAUUUCGUAAUCAAGUGUCUCUGUUUAAAGCAGAAAUUCCUAAAUGUUCCUUUUGAAUAGCAAAAAUUUUGAUUUGAAAUUUUUUUGAUAAAUUAAUCUAUUUAGCAAGGUUUCCAGUGAUGUUUGAGUGUUUCUAGAUUAUAUUGUUUGUUCUAGCAUAGUUAUUGACUAAACAUGGUAUUAUUUGGAAUUAUUCAAGGAAUAAUUUCAAAAUGUAAGUCCAAAUAGCCAAGCUUAUAAAUUCCUGACUAGUCCCAGUUUAGUGUAUAACCCGGUAUGUGUUCCAUCUCUUUGGACCUGUGAGUUGCUCUGAGUUUUAGUAAAGACCAGACCUGAAGUUUAGAUAAUAAUCCCCAGGUAAUGUGGACUUCAAUUCCCUGCAUUAUAACCACAGGAUUGCUGGGAGUUGUAGUUCACACCACCUCAAGAGUCCAAGGCUCUCUUUCCCAUGAAGAUAUCCAGAAUUAAUCAGAUGAUGCUCCUCAAAAAAACUUAAAUUGAAAACUGAAAUUAAAAGAAAUGAGAAGAGUGCAAUUAUUUUUUUUAGGUUAGACGGCUGCAGGAAAAUAACAUUUAUUUUUUUAUUACAAAAAUUUAAUUUCUAAUUGCACUGCAAAUCGUGAUUUGUGACAAAAGUUGCAAUUCAAACAUUGUGCAAACUUUUGCAAGAAUUGUAAACUCAUUUUAUAAAGCAGACAAUAAUUUAAUUAAGUUCUGAUCUCUUGUGCAUUUAGCUUCCUGUACCAAUUCAGCUGUGCCUUAAGACUUACCAGCAUUUUGACUCGGAGGAACUUUACUAUGCCCACUGCACUAAACGUAGUGGGUAAUGUGUUUGUAGUGUGCCUUUAAAAAAAAAAAAAAAAACCCACCUUAGAUCAAACUAGAACAAUCAAGGUGAAAAUUUAAGGAACAUUAUAGGGUCACAAACAUGUAUUCCUGGCCCUGUAGUGCUAAACCCCCCAUUUAGGUGGCUUGCCCUCCCUUAGCCCCCAUAAAAGUAAUUAAAACUCACCUUAAUUCCAGUACCGCAUGGGUCCGUUGGCGCUAGCUCUGCCCCCUUGGUGACAUAAUCAGAAUUGCAUCUCUAUGAGGAAAAUUCUGCGUCCCCAUGCAGGGCGUGGAGACACUGAACGGCACUGCUGCCUACUGUGCAGCACUGAGCCAGGAAGCAACUCCUGUGGCCAUCUGAGUAGUGGCCAAUUGAAGGUGUCCCUAGGGGCAAUGUAAACACUGCCUUUUCUCUGAAAAAGCAGUGUUUGCAGAAAAAUGCCUGAAGGCAGUGAUUAUAGUCACCAAAAUAACAACAUGAAUAGAUUUAAGUUAUUUUCCAGUUCCUCUAUUUUGGUCUAGAUGUUGCUAGUUAGAUCUUAACUCACUGUUUAGGUAUUAUAAAACCCUUUAGUAACUUAGUGGUGACUUGUGUUAACUGAUUUACUUUGUGGCUAGCACAGAUGUUUAGAAGGCAAAAAUAUUAGAUUCCUGAUAUCUGCAUAAUAGUCAUAUUAUUUAACAUUUUACUGGACCAAAAAGUUCAUUGUCAUAAAUAUUGGACAGAGAUUAGUAACAGAAUUCAUGUGAUGUGUGUGCCAUUUAAAUUCUAGAAAAAAACGUGUCUCAGGCAGCGUUUAGUAAAUAACUAAUCCCUGUUUCAAUCAAGAACAUUCUUUUGUAUCACACUUAUUUGGUGCAAAGUAUACUUUCACAUUUUUCAAGUCGACAUGGAAAAUCUUCAUUCCAGGCCAGCCGUCCUUAGGCAGGCUGUGUUUUUAAUUUUGGUCACGGUGUUCAUGUGAGCAAACGAAACUUUUUAAAAAAUGUCCUUGGGUGCUUGUACUCUACUGCUGUGCAGAUAUAUUUCUUUCAGGUUCAAUAUUCUCUGAUUUACACUAUCAACGCAUAGGUAUGAAUUAAUGCCAAUAUUCAAUAUUUUAUGAAAAAAAGGCUUUACUGUUCAAUGUGUUCAACUGAUGGCUACAAUUUACUGUCUCCAGGGCAACCGUGGCUUUAGAUUGUUACUGUAGUUGUGCAUUGGUAACAGUCUACAGCCAUGGUCACUCGGGGAAGACACAGACAACGCCUUCGUGGCAACUCUAAAGUGGCCAAAGCCAGCAAUUACUGUAAAUAGAGACUCAAUGUAGAUGCUUUAGUUGGGAAACUGUCAGGUGAGUUGCAAAAGUAAGUAAGUCAGUUUCUGAACAAUGUAAUAAUUUGUAUGACAAGUGCUUAUCUGCCAUUUAUUCAUAGUAAACUUGCAAAGUGUGACAGACCAAUUGGUCACCUAGGACUGGUACGUCUCCCACCCGUCACCUCACUAAAAGACUAUAAUCACUACUAUAUGCACCUCCAGUCAAUGCCCCUUUUACGCGGACAAGGACUCAUCAUCAAGGCCAGCCGGUAACUCGCUGAGGCAAGGCACGUCUGACCAGGAGCAACCCUCAAACACUCUGGAACUACUGAUUGGAUCAGAAAGUUGCCACAGCCUGGGAAAACUAUGAUUAGGGCGCUCUCCCAGAGCCACCUAUCAGGGCACGAUUUGGAGGUGUGACAGAGGAUGUGGUGAGGCAUCGAAUGACACCAAGGACUUGAGAGAGAUCAAUGUACCGGCAGAAAGCAGCAUCAUUUUAGGUGCCCGGGAUUUCUACCCAGCACUAUGGAACUGUAUGCUGGAUUGGAGGAUUGUCAUGGUCCGAUGAAAACAUUACCUUCCAGCUAACUUGGGCUAGACACUUCUGAUCUGAGUGCUUUUUGGACAGAGUGGGCGCUCAGGAGAGAGCUUUCCAGGAAUGGCACUAUUGUGGGGAUUUUGGAACAGGAAUCCUAGUUUUCAUGUGUUUUUGUUAACCUGGUACCAAGGUGUCUGGCCACUAAUUAAAUUAUCUACUUAGGUACAGACACCAAGGUGCCAGGCAUGUCGCAAUACCAUUAUUCUCCUAGGGAUCUACUGUUGGAGGCCCCAGGUAUAAAUGUGUGACUGCUGUGCAGAUAUAUUUCUCAGGUUCAAUAUGCUCUGAUUUACACUAUCAAUGCGUAGGUAUGAAUUACUGCCAAUAUUCAAUAUUUUAUGAUAAAAGGCUUUACUGUUAAAUGUGUUCAAAGGAUGGCUACAAUUUACUGUCUCCAGGGCAACCGUGGCUUUAGAUUGUUACUGUAGUUGUGCCAGGCAUGUCGCAAGGUGCCAGGCAUAUCGAAAUACCAUUGUUCUCCUG